GAUGAACGCUGGCGGCGUGCCUAAUACAUGCAAGUCGAGCGAACGGACGAGAAGCUUGCUUCUCUGAUGUUAGCGGCGGACGGGUGAGUAACACGUGGAUAACCUACCUAUAAGACUGGGAUAACUUCGGGAAACCGGAGCUAAUACCGGAUAAUCUUUUGCACCGCAUGGUUCAAUAGUGAAAGACGGUCUUGCUGUCACUUAUAGAUGGAUCCGCGCUGCAUUAUCUAGUUGGUAAGGUAACGGCUUACCAAGGCAACGAUGCAUAGCCGACCUGAGAGGGUGAUCGGCCACACUAGAACGGAGACACGGUCAAGACUCCUACGGGAGGCAGCAGUAGGGAAUCUUCCGCAAUAGGCGAAAGCCUGACGGAGCAACGCCGCGUGAGUGAUGAAGGUCUUCGGAUCGUAAAACUCUGUUAUUAGGGAAGAACAUAUGUGUAAGUAACUGUGCACAUCUUGACGGUACCUAAUCAGAAAGCCACGGCUAACUACGUG
Molecule: ribosomal RNA, 497 nt
Filed under: uncultured bacterium
Lineage: Bacteria
Description: partial 16S ribosomal RNA
Rfam family: Bacterial small subunit ribosomal RNA
Source: RNAcentral